GACCAUGGUCCAGCUCCCCACAUGGUUGCUGUGAGCUGCUCAAAUAAUGGUGCAUGCAGAGAGCCUGCAAGAGUAUAAGAUGUUUAUACCCAAGGGACUGAACACUACGUUGAUCUGAGAGAAAUCCAUGCUUUGCAAGUACAAUAGUUCAGGUAAGUAAUGUACAUAGAUGUGAAGAAGAUGGGUCAGCCAGACUCUAGAAAAAAAACCCCUCAAUGUUUAUGAGCUUUCAUAAUAACAACUACCACCUCUAGGAAUCCUUAUCAGCAGGACAUCAAGGUAAAAUGACGCUGGACAAGUUUAGUCUACAGGGAGACUGUCUGUCAGGCAAGAUUUCUGUUGAAGUUAAGGCUGAAAUCUGCCUGGUCUGUCCAAGCAUGUGACAGUUUGUUUUAGGAAGAUGCCUUUCAGUGUAUCUCAAGUGUCCUGAGCACUGCAAGUGCCAGCAAGAUGUCAGCAAUGUUCAUGGGGAUGCGCCAUGAGGCAGGUGGAUGGGCAGCAGAGGGGAUGAUCACCAAGCUCGUGGAGGAGCAAGAAAGCUGGUUUCAGCAUGCUUCCUGCAGCUAAGGAGUAGAGCAAAGGCACUGCUUCAGAGGGAAGAUGGGCGACCUUCCAGUGAAACCCCUCGGGACCGUCGGGAUGUGUGGGUGACAGGAGAGCUCUCUGUCACAAACUAUGGCCUCAACAGAUGUCCCAGGAUUGAGACCAAGGAGAACUUCUGGACCAUAUGUGCAUCCAGCUUUUUGCUGCAAUGAGUCAUCAGUGUGUGAUCCCUGCUCUCAGGCAGGUAACAAGAUGGAAGGCUCACACCAUCAACCACCACCCAGGAGAUGCACCUCUGCCACUCCACUUGGUGUGGAUAGCUCUUACCUGCUGUGCUGUUUCAAGGAGGCCAUGUCUGCAAGGAGCAGAAGUCUCAGUCUCAGGGGGGCCGUGUGCUCCUCGGUAUGUGCUGCCUGGAGCCAUUGACGCUGCUCCGCUGGAAAACCUGACAUGACUUCAAACUUUCUCCUGAAACCUGUCAAAGGGCACAAUUUGAGAAAUGUUAUUUGACCUGCUUUUUGGCUUCUGC
Molecule: long non-coding RNA, 1072 nt
Organism: Colius striatus (speckled mousebird)
Lineage: Eukaryota; Metazoa; Chordata; Aves; Coliiformes; Coliidae
Exons: 3
Source: RefSeq, a predicted model, not a curated record